Non-coding RNA from Merluccius polli (Benguela hake), 79 nucleotides. The record is from the annotation of a GenBank genome assembly. Lineage: Eukaryota; Metazoa; Chordata; Actinopteri; Gadiformes; Merlucciidae.
GGUCCUGACCAGCUCAACUGGUAGAGCAUGGCAUCAACGUUGCCAGGGUUGCGGGUUCGAUUCCCACUGGGACCUCCCA